CUACGGGGGGCUGCAGUGAGGGAUUUUGCGCAAUGGGGGGAACCCUGACGCAGCAACGCCGCGUGAGUGAAGAAGGCCUUUGGGUCGUAAAGCUCUGUCAACUGGGAAGAAGUUACAAUUAUUAAACAGAUGGUUGUAUUGACGGUACCAGUGGAGGAAGCGCCGGCUAACUCCGUGCCAGCAGCCGCGGUAACACGGGGGGCGCAAGCGUUAUUCGGAAUUAUUGGGCGUAAAGGGCGCGUAGGCGGUUUUAUCGGUCAGAUGUGAAAGCCCGGGGCUCAACCCCGGAAGAGCAUUUGAAACAGUAAGGCUUGAGUAUGGGAGAGGAAAGCGGAAUUCCUGGUGUAGAGGUGAAAUUCGUAGAUAUCAGGAGGAACACCGAUGGCGAAGGCGGCUUUCUGGACCAAUACUGACGCUGAGGCGCGAAGGCGUGGGUAGCGAACGGGAUUAGAUACCCGGGUAGUC
RNAcentral lists this ribosomal RNA (465 nucleotides) under uncultured bacterium. RNAcentral describes it as "partial 16S ribosomal RNA". It matches the Rfam family "Bacterial small subunit ribosomal RNA", at positions 339 to 795 of the family's 1533-position model. The record is from RNAcentral.